CAAACGACUCUCGGCAACGGAUAUCUCGGCUCACGCAUCGAUGAAGAACGUAGCAAAAUGCGAUACUUGGUGUGAAUUGCAGAAUCCCGUGAACCAUCGAGUUUUUGAACGCAAGUUGCGCCCGAAGCCAUCCGGCAGAGGGCACGCCUGCCUGGGCGUCASGC
RNAcentral lists this ribosomal RNA (164 nucleotides) under Dasyphyllum colombianum. Its description in RNAcentral is "5.8S ribosomal RNA". It matches the Rfam family "5.8S ribosomal RNA". From Rfam's summary of the family: 5.8S ribosomal RNA (5.8S rRNA) is a component of the large subunit of the eukaryotic ribosome. It is transcribed by RNA polymerase I as part of the 45S precursor that also contains 18S and 28S rRNA. Lineage: Eukaryota; Viridiplantae; Streptophyta; Magnoliopsida; Asterales; Asteraceae. The record is from RNAcentral.